GGAUGCGAUCAUACCAGCACUAAAGCACCGGAUCCCAUCAGAACUCUGAAGUUAAGCGUGCUUGGGCGAGAGUAGUACUGGGAUGGGUGACCUCCUGGGAAGUCCUCGUGUUGCAUUCC
RNAcentral lists this ribosomal RNA (119 nucleotides) under Sorghum bicolor (sorghum). The record is from RNAcentral. Lineage: Eukaryota; Viridiplantae; Streptophyta; Magnoliopsida; Poales; Poaceae. RNAcentral also lists the same sequence under 1 other name.